UGGAUUCGCUAGUAAUCGCGCAUCAGCCAUGGCGCGGUGAAUACGUUCCCGGGCCUUGUACACACCGCCCGUCAAGCCAUGGGAGCCGGGGGCGCCUGAAGUCCGGGACCGCGAGGACCGGCCUAGGGCGAAACUGGUAACUGGGGCUAAGUCGUAACAAGGUAAC
Molecule: ribosomal RNA, 166 nt
Filed under: uncultured bacterium
Lineage: Bacteria
Description: partial 16S ribosomal RNA
Rfam family: Bacterial small subunit ribosomal RNA
Source: RNAcentral